RNA transcript from Mirounga angustirostris (Northern elephant seal), 1518 nucleotides. It is a transcript of the gene named leucine-rich repeat-containing protein 34-like, with no coding region annotated. NCBI's taxonomy places the organism in Eukaryota, Metazoa, Chordata, Mammalia, Carnivora, Phocidae. The record is from RefSeq and is a predicted model, not a curated record. The transcript has a single exon.
CAUUUUAUUUCUCAUUUAACAGGAAAUUUAAUCGUUAAAUAUAGGGAAUCAAAUUAAUAUUUCAGAAAGCUAAUGGAAAAUCUAUCAUACUUUGGUUUUAAUGCCAAAGAGAAAAUUGUCAAUUUUUCAGAAACAAUUACCGUAGCUCUGGGGACUAUUUAUCUGAUUUUAAAGUAAAUGAAAUCUAAUUUUUUACAAGUUCUUAGAAAUUUUUGUUAGAAUAGUCCAUUGGGGCGUGAGGUAUACAUGGUUAUCAUGACCCUACUCUGCCUUGCACUCUCGCCCCUACUGCAGACUCUGGAAGGAAUCACAUUAAACAUUGCUGGUAACUUAUUUGCUUAUUGCUGGUAGAAAGAGUGACUGGUGAAGAUUUUGGAUUUUUUCCCAAAUUUUAAAGAAGAAUCCAUGUAUUAAUGAAACAACUUAAUCUUGUUUACUUAAAUCUUAUGUUAGUAAUAUUGGGCCCAAAGGUGGAGAAUUGAUUGUAAAAGCACUACAUAACAAUACAACUCUGAAAUACCUGAGAAUGACUGGAAACAAGUUUGAAAAUGAAGGUGGAAUGUGUUUUGCAGGAAUGCUACAAAUUAAUUCAUCCUUAGAGAAAUGAGAUCGGAAUGACUGUGGUCUAGAAAUGCAAAAUGUGAUAGCAUUUGCUACAGUCCUAACUGAAAACCAAACAACUAAGGGAAUAUACCCAAACCUACCUAUGCUGUAUGGUGAAUAGGAGGCGUCCACAGUUCAUCUAGGCCACAUGCUGAAAGAAAAUCACUGUCUUGUUGCAUUGCUCAUGUGUAAGCAUGAUAUUAUAAAACAGUUAGGUGAUGCACCGUAUCUGAACAGUAGCCUAUGCUAACUUGAUGUCAGCUGGUUGUCAGUAGUCAGCAACAACAUAGGGGGAGAUGGGCUUGUACUUUCGUAAUCAAUGAAAACAAAUCCCACUCUCUCUAAUAUCUACAUUUGGGAAAACAAAUUCGAUGACUACAUGUAUGAUAUAAUCAGACUUAAUUCAAAUUCAAAUCAGACAAAUUCAGAUUCAAAUUCAAAUGGACCAUCUAAAAUUAGGUAAUACAGAUACGGAGCUAUUUGUGGUGGGUGGACAUGUGUAUUUUGCAGAAGUCUCCAGUGGCCUUAAAAAGCAUUAUUAUCAGACAUCAACUUACAGAAAACCUUGCAGCACUCAUCUAAUGCAGGUUUUACUCUUUUUUUUUUUUUUAAGAUUUUAUUUAUUUAUUUGACAGAGAGAGACACUGCAAGAGAGGGAACACAAGCAGGGGGAGUGGGAGAGGGAGGAGCAGGCUUCCCGCCAAGCAGGGAGCCCAAUGCGACGCUUGAUCCCAGGACCCUGAGAUCAUGACCUGAGCCGAAUGCAGAUGCUCAACGACUGAGCCACUCAGGCGCCCUUCUUUUUUUUUUUUUUUUUUAAAGAUUUAUUUAUUUAUUUGAGAGAGAGAGGGAGAACAUGCACAUGGGGGGAGGGGCAGAGGGAGAGAAUCUUCAAGCAGACUCCCCACUAAGCAA